UACAGAGGUCUCAAGCGUUGUUCGGAUUCAUUGGGCGUAAAGGGUGUGUAGGUGGCGCGCUAAGUCGGGUGUGAAAUUUCGGAGCUUAACUCCGAAACUGCAUUCGAUACUGGCGUGCUUGAGGACUGGAGAGGAGACUGGAAUUCAUGGUGUAGCAGUGAAAUGCGUAGAGAUCACUGAGGAAGACCAGUGGCGAAGGCGGGUCUCUGGACAGUUCCCUGACACUGAGACACGAAGGCCAGGGGAGCAAACGGGG
This 256-nucleotide ribosomal RNA is filed under the name uncultured bacterium. RNAcentral describes it as "partial 16S ribosomal RNA". It matches the Rfam family "Bacterial small subunit ribosomal RNA", at positions 524 to 777 of the family's 1533-position model. The record is from RNAcentral.